This 253-nucleotide ribosomal RNA is filed under the name uncultured bacterium. RNAcentral describes it as "partial 16S ribosomal RNA". It matches the Rfam family "Bacterial small subunit ribosomal RNA", at positions 524 to 776 of the family's 1533-position model. The record is from RNAcentral.
UACGUAGGGGGCAAGCGUUAUCCGGAAUCAUUGGGCGUAAAGCGCGUGUAGGCGGUUCCGUAAGUCCGCUCUGAAAGCCCAGGGCUCAACCCUGGGAGGCGGGUGGAUACUACGGAACUGGAGUACGGAAGAGGAGAUUGGAAUUCCUGGUGUAGCGGUGAAAUGCGCAGAUAUCAGGAGGAACACCAACAGCGAAGGCAGAUCUCUGGGCCACUACUGACGCUGAGACGCGAAAGCGUGGGAAGCAAACAGG